UUUUUUUUUCUUUUUUUAGGGUGGCACUUGUAGCAUUUGGAAGUUCCUGGGCUAGGGGUCAAAUUGAAGCUGCAGCUUCAGGCCUACACGACAGCCAUAGCAACUUGGGAUCCGAGCCGUGUCUGAGACCUACACCGCAGCUCACCAAAACACUGGAUCCUUAACCCACUGAGCCAGGCCAGGGAUCAGACGUGCAUCCUCAUGGAUACUAGUUGGGUUCUUAACCCUCUGAGCCACAGCGGGAAUGCCACAUAAUUGACUUUAUAUACUGCAUUGAUCGGGAACCCCAACUAACUGCCUAUAGGAUGGGGCCAGACAAGGAUUUGUUUCUCAGCAUACUGUCAUUUCCACAGAGCGAUGCUAGUACCUCAUCUUCUCCUCCGGGGCAGCCUAGUGUUUUGGAAGCUGAGAAAGGUGCUCCUGGAAGGGAGAGCAGCAUCUUUCUCUUUGCCCCUCUCUCCUGCCUCCUUAUGCCUUUGGAGUUUCCAGACACGUUCCUUUGAAAAUAAAAAUUCACUUCCCAAAUGGCCUGUGUGGCAUCCAUUUGGUGGAUGAAAUUAUCAAGACCCCAUUUGGGGGCUAGGUCCUCGGUCCUGCAGCAGAUUAAAGCAAACAGCUCUGUGCUCCAGGCAGGGACAGGAGCUCCGGGCGGCACCUCCUGCGAGAUUUAUAUACUGUGCAUCUGUCAGGCAGUAAGUUGGAAUUUGCGGGUUAGCAAGUGACACCUGCCUGCCCAGGAAGCCACGCCCGCUCUCUGGAGGGAAGUAAUGGGUUCUGAAUUGGGGACGCGCUGGGGUAGGAGCGCCCAGAGCGAUGGAGGUAGUUCCAAGUCAUUGUGCCAGGAUUCAGUGGGUGGCGCAUGGAGACGUUUGCUUUGUUUUCGUUUUUAAUGAAAAUAUGGCUUUCUGUCCUAGUUAAGGAACGUGAUCUUUCUAUCGUUCUGAGACAGGUCUCGGAGGCUGUCAGGCUUCUGCUGUCCAGGUAGAGAAGCAGUGUCAAGAAGGAGCAUAAGGCAUAUUCAACAGUCCUUUGCUCAGUUUUGAACUUGGCAGCAUGAGCAUAGUCUCUGCCUAUCGGAAGAGAGAAUGCUUAAAACCACCUAAGAAAGGCGUUGAUUUGGUGUGGGAGAAAUAAUUAGAUGCUGCAUUUUUGUUUUGUUGCCGUGUUGUUUCUUCAAUGGCACAGUGUGAAGAAGCCUCAGAGAUGAAUAAAAACCUCGUUUCUCGGGGAUCCAUCUGGGCAGACGAUACGUUCCAGGUCUCUGAUUCCUAUUUCCAGUUCUGCCGUUUAGGCAGGUGCAUUUGGCCUUGGCGCGUGCGUGCUGAUGGCCUUGGAGACCCAGGCUCUGAGCGCCCAGAGAAUGAGAUGACCUCGUGCAGCUCCUUCUACAAAGGGAGGUACACAGAAGGCCACUUCUUUUCGGUUCAAAUGUACAAACAAAUCCAAAUGGCUAGAUAAUCAUUUCUCCCUCCUCUUUCCCCAGGCGCCAUCCCUGGGAACAUACAGUAGUCAGCAGGACACUUUGAACUUAUUCUUAGUCAACAAAAGUCAAUUGUUCCCUCCAGCCCAUCCUGGAGGCCCCCCACCCCCACCCCAUGAAGGUCUCCUGCUGCUGUUUAAAUGCCAAGGCAGAGACUCAGCAUUUACCAAAAAUAAAUGUUGAGGUAAAGAUUUGACAUUUAUUUUCAAAGUGAGAGGCCAUCUUCCCAUCACAGAAUUCAGCUUGUUAGAUAUUCUUUUGUAUUAGCCCAAAGGGUUCAUGUUAGCAAAGAAAUACAAACCAGCUUUAGCAGCCAGCAGGCUAACAGGACCUCUGUUCACUAGGCUGUUAUUGAAAAGGUAGACUCUGGUGUCUUGGUGCGGAUGUGAGCUCCCUCAGUAAUGGGCUGUCUGAGUAAGUAACACCGGAGCCUGGAGAUCUGAUGUGUGACAUCUGCCUUAUCUGUUAGGCUGGGGUAGGAUGCUAUCGAGGGAAGGUAGUAGAAAAUGGAAUAGAGCAAUUGAGUGAUGGAUUUAAAUCCAAAUCAUAAGUGUAAGAAACUCCCCCAAGUAGCUCAUCAUAGUUACUGGUGGGGUUUUGGAGGCAGGUGAAUUAGCAGGAGAAUAGACCAUCGCUCCAUUGGCAGGUAGCACUCUGGCUCUGCUUUCAGUGGCUGUGUUUCUGCUCCAUCAUGUCUUUGUGGCUUCCCACUGCCAAAGCACCCCGCUUCCCCCCAUCCUUGGCAGCAUUUGUGCUACUAUCCCUUUUUGUCCUUACUGUCCACGUAAGGGAGUGAACAGGGCGUGGCCAGGAUUGGAGAGUCUGUGGUUAGUCUGGUAGAGGGUCGCUGUUAUGCCAUAAUCCUUAGGAAUGACUUCUGGGCAAGACUGAUUGCAAAAUUUGUGGGGGCCAGUGAAAGAUGGUUAUUUAGGUCCUAGUUCAAAAAUUACUGAGAAUUUCAAAAUGGUAACAGCAGGGCCAAGCAUAGGGCCCUUUGAGUACAGGGCCUGGUGUGAUUCUAUAUGUUAUACACCCAUGAAACUGGCCUUGCCUCUGGGGGUGGUGAAUGUGGGAUUAGGGUGAAGGAAGUCACGACAGUUCCACUUUUGACUCUUCUUCCUGAGAAACUAGAGGGUAACAUCUCUCAGAAUUGGAGGAGCAACCCCAGUGGGUAGGCGGAUGCUCCAGGAAGGAGCAUCUCUCCAGGAAGCUCCCAGAGAAAACCAGAUACAGAAAGCUGGUCCCUGUGUAUGGUUGUAAAAGACUGUUCAGGGACAGAGGAAAGCCACUCAUUUCCUGCUAGGAUUGCUCCAGCUCUGAGCCCCCUGCCUGCUCCUUUAUUCCCUCCCUUCCCCCACAGACGGAUGAGUGGUGAAAAGGGACUAGAAACCAAUAUCAUCCAACCAUCCACCUUACAUACUAAGACAAUUCUAACAGUAGUACUCAGGGAGCCAUGGAGGAAAUUGAAGGAAUGUAUAUCAUACCAUCCCUACUUGUGUGAGACAAAUAACAGGCCGGGGGAGAUGUGCCUCAAAACAGGAAAUGCAGAGAUUCAUGAAAAGCUUCUAUGCCAUAGGAGUUCCCAUGGUGGCGCAGCAGAAACGAAUCUGACUAGGAACCAUGAGGUUGCAGGUUCGAUCCCUGGCCUCACUCAGUGGGUUAAGGAUCUGGCAUUACAGUGAGCUGUGGUGUAGGUUUCAGAUGCAGCUUGGAUCUGUCGUUGCUAUGGCUCUGGUGUGGUCCGCAGCAACAAUUCUGCUUAGAUCCCUAGUCUGGGAACCUCCAUACACUGAGGGUGCGGCCCUAAAAGGACAAAAGACAAAAAAAAAAAGUGUCUGUGCCAUAAAUGAUGAUACCCAGUAGGCAAAUUAUGAUGACCAUAUAUCUGAAGAAAUUAUGUUUAGAUGGCAAAUCCUUAAAAGAAUAGGAAAAAAAAAGGAUUUAUAUGAAAGAAGAGAUGAUACUAGUAAAUCAGGCAGACUGAAAUAAGAGAUGGUAAAGUAAGAAAAAUUUUUAAAAAUUAUUUUAUUUUAUUUUUCUCUUUUUAGGGCUGCACCUGUGUCAUAUGGAAGUUCCCAGGCUAGAGGUUGAAUUGGAGCUGCAGCCACUGGCCUAUGCCACAGCCACAGCAACACGGGAUCCGAGCUGCUUCUGUGACUUACACCAGAGCUCAUGGCAAUCCUGGAUCCCCACUCCACUGAGUGAGGCCAGGGAUUGAACCCUCAUCCUCGGGGUACUAGUCAGGUUCUUAACCCACUGAGCUACAAUGGGAAGUCCAGAUAAGAAAAAUUUUGUGGAAACAAAUAAUGCCCAAAUAGAAUCUAAAAUAAUACUAUGAACAUUUAAGAGAAUUGACACUCUUGAAAAUUUUUAUCACAUGUAGAAAUCAGGCUUGAGAAAACCCUUCCAGAGCUCAAAGGAAAAGAUCAAAGAGAAUAAAUUGAUAAGAGGGAUAAUAAUUGAUAUAGAGAUGAGAUUACAUAGCUAUAUGUGUCCAGGUGUAGCUGCUGAAGAAGAUAAAAAUAUUCAAAGAUAUAAUAGUAGAAAACUUUCCUGAACUGAAGAAAGAUCUGAAUUCAUAGAUUGAAAGAAUGCUCUGAGUGUAGGUAAAAUUAAUUAAAAAUGGCCAAGACGUAGGUAAAUAUUCAUAUUUUGAAUAUUCUUGAAUUUUAAAAGCACUCAGUUACUGAGAAUGAGAAGUGGGGGAAUGUCACUUUGGCUCCAGAAUUUUUGGUGACAUUAGAUUUCAUGGCGUUUUAUGAGUAAAAAGGGCUUCAGUGAAAGAAUUGUAUGGUCAGCUAUAGCCCAUGCUUUUUGUGAUCAGCACCAUGUCCUCUCAGGCCGCCUGUGAUCUGUGACAGUAACUCCCACCUGCUGGGAGUUACAGUCACAUCCCACCUCAAGUCAGUUUGGGAGGUAUUCUGCUUAAUAGCUUUGUCCAAAGCUGUAAAAACCAGAAAUGAAGGAGAGUUAGCAUUCCUGAGGGUAACUCUUGACCAAUUGGAGAAGGAAGUUGGUGGAUAACUUCUCUAGCUUCCCAUGCUUUAUGGAACGAUUUUGAGGCAUAUUCUACAUGAUUCCUUAGGGGUUCCCAGUGGCAUUGAGCCCCAGGUGUCCAUCAAGGGAAUCAACUCAAUCAUAUGCCCAUUAUUGGCUUUUCCAUCUUCCCUGUCUCUCUCUGCUCCCUCACUGCUGUUCCUGGAAACAGCUUCAAAUUAAACUACCCAUUUCUGAGUUCUUGUCUCAGGCUUUUGGUACAACCAAAACUAAGACCCCUAACAUUCUUUAUUGUCAUAUGCAAGCAAAAGAAAAAAAUUCUCACAUGUUUAAGGAUUCAGAAAAGAGAUAUCUAUGCACUUUUGUGAUAAAGUGAGAAUUGAGCAAAGUAGACAUCAUGAACAAGGGACUGUCUGAUGAAAAUUUUAAAAAAACCAACAGUGAGCAUUGAAAUCAAUUAAGCAUGGAAUUAUCCAAAUGACUGUGGUGAAUGUGGUUUUAAAGCAAUGUAAAUAGUAUAAAUUUGAAAAGACAGUGAAAAACAACAUCAUGAUAAACAUCAAGAUAUACUGUUUCUUGAUGUUCAUUAGUCGAGACACAUAGCAUAAAAUAUAAAUUUUAAAGUCUAAAAGCUGUAUUUAGAUUAACAGCAAUCUUAUCCUUUCUACCCUGUUCCUGAGUCAUCCAUUUUCCUUCCCUACAGACAACCAUUUUACCAGUUUAUAUGUUGCAUCUUUCAGAAAUACUCAAUUCAUAUUCCAGGAAUCAGGAAUUCCAUAGAUACCUCCCCCACAUCCCAACAAAUAACAUACUAAAGAGCCUUGCUGUUUUCACAUGGUGAAUUUUGUAAUAGCACCUUUUGGAAAUCAUUCCUUUUUUUCUUUUUUCUUUUUUAGGGCUGCACUUGCAGCCUAUGGAGGUUCCCAGGCUAGGGGUCAAAUUGGAGCUGUAUCUGCCAGCCUACACCUCUGCACAUGGUAACGCCAGAUCCUUAACCCUCUGAGCAAGGCCAGGGAUCGAACCUGCGUCCUCAUGGAUGCUAGUCAGAUUCGUUAACUGCUGAGCCAUGAGGGGAACUUCUAUUCCUUCUUUUCUACAACUGUAGAGUAUUCCUUUGCACGGCUAGACAUUAGGUUAUUUCUUUAGUCUCUCAUUAUGGGCUUCCAUGUUGUUGCUCCUCUGUUGCUAUCAUAGUAGAGAUUCGAGGGAUAGCCUUAGCACAUGUGUCAGCUUACUUGUCUCCUUCCCCCUUGAAACACUUUUCUCUCUUGCUUUCCAUAAUAUAGUGCUUUCCUGUUGUCCCGAGAUUCUCUGGUUACACCUUCCUGUCUCCUUUGCCAGCUCCUCUUCCUUCACCUUGUCCCUUGAAUGUCAGAGUUACUUAAGGCUUCCUUCUCCACACUUCUCCCUAGGUAUACUCACUCAUUCCAGGGGUUUAAAACUAUCACUGUGCUGGUGAUUCUCCAAAUUCUCUAUCUAACCAAACCUCACCUCUGAUCUCUGGUACUUUCAUAAUACCCUCUUUCACAUCUCUCAUAGACACUGUAAUCUUAACAGGUCCCAAAUAAGACUCUUGAGGUCCCUCCAACCUGGGUCGUCACCCAGUCUUCCACAAAUCAGGUAACAAUAGCAUCAUUUUUCUAGUUUCUCAAGCCAAAUCCUGGAUGCAGUUCUGCCUCCCAAACAUAUCUUCAAUCCUUCUACCUUUUUCUUCUCUCUAGUGCUACCACUGUUGUACUGCCUGCCAUCAUCUUCCUCAUGGACCACAGGAAUCCCCUCGCCGGGUGCCCUGUUUCUACUCUUGCUUCCUACAGUCUACUCUUCACUCAGCAGCCAGAGGGUCUUUGCAGGGUGUAGGUCAGACCUUUGUCUCUAUGCCAUGGCAGUUAUCAUGAAAUAAUCUAACAACUUGUUUUUGUGGUUGACCCCCUGCAAGAUGGAGGUUUCCUUGAGACAUGAUU
This 6438-nucleotide long non-coding RNA is filed under the name Sus scrofa (pig). Its description in RNAcentral is "lncRNA (ENSSSCG00015050915.1)". Lineage: Eukaryota; Metazoa; Chordata; Mammalia; Artiodactyla; Suidae. The record is from RNAcentral.